Long non-coding RNA from Drosophila sechellia, 487 nucleotides. RefSeq lists it as uncharacterized. The transcript is spliced from 2 exons. The record is from RefSeq and is a predicted model, not a curated record. Lineage: Eukaryota; Metazoa; Arthropoda; Insecta; Diptera; Drosophilidae.
GAAAAGCAUGGAUGGUUUGAAAAAACUUAAAACCAUCGAUAGUAUCGAUGGUUUUCCAGCUCUAGUUUUAUUCCAUUUCUGACGGUCUGACGAAGCAGUGAAAAGUUUUUUUUGUGGUUGGCCGUCAAAAAGUGGGAAAAUAAGAUUCACAUUAUCAUUGAGGCACUGGAUUCGAAAAAAGGCUAAGCGAGUGGCGGGGGAAAUUCAGUUGGUUUUAUUAUUUAUUAUUAGUUUACAAUGGUUAUUCUAAUACGUGUGUUCGCAUUCAACUCCAUUGAUCGAUUGCCUCUCUCUCUCCAGCCCGAUCGCUCGUCUCUCUGCUUAUGUUAGAUUAAUCGGGAGAGCGUGAGUUGCGCUCAUCUUCCUCUCGCACCGGUUCCAACAUCCCUCCUAUUAUUAUUUAUUAUGUGAAAGUCGAAUAUUAACAAUCGUAAACAAUGUUUUUUUAACGGCAAUUCUUGAUCAAUAAAAAUGUUUUUAAAAUUUA